RNAcentral lists this ribosomal RNA (468 nucleotides) under uncultured bacterium. RNAcentral describes it as "partial 16S ribosomal RNA". It matches the Rfam family "Bacterial small subunit ribosomal RNA", at positions 28 to 507 of the family's 1533-position model. The record is from RNAcentral.
GACGAACGCUGGCGGCGUGCUUAACACAUGCAAGUCGAACGGAAAGGCCCUGCGUGUGUGGGGUGCUCGAGUGGCGAACGGGUGAGUAACACGUGUGUAACCUGCCCUUGACUUUGGGAUAACUUCAGGAAACUGGGGCUAAUACCGUAUAGGAGCUCCUGCAGCAUGGUGGGGGGUGGAAAGUCUCGGCCGGCGGGGAUGGACUCGCGGCUUAUCAGCUUGUUGGUGGGGUAGUGGCUUACCAAGGCUUUGACGGGUAGCCGGCAUGAGAGGGUGACCGGCCACAUGGGGCCUGCGGUAGGCAGCAGUGUCGAAUGGGAGGCAGCGGCGGGGAGUCUGGCACAGUGGGCGCAAGUCUGAUGCGGAGGCGUCGCGUGCGUGAUGCCGGCUUGCGGGUUGUGAACCGCAUUAGCCUGUGACGCAGCGUGAGUGACGGUAAUGGGUAAAGAAGCACCGGCUAACUACGUG